GUGCUCGCUUCAGCAGCCCAUAUGCUAAAAUUGGAACGAUACAGAGAAGAUGAGCACGGCCCGGUGCACGGAUGACACGCCAAUUCACGAAGCGGUCCAUGUUUAA
This is a small nuclear RNA of Ailuropoda melanoleuca (giant panda), 106 nucleotides long. The record is from Ensembl. NCBI's taxonomy places the organism in Eukaryota, Metazoa, Chordata, Mammalia, Carnivora, Ursidae.